RNAcentral lists this transfer RNA (56 nucleotides) under Staphylococcus epidermidis. Its description in RNAcentral is "tRNA-Ser". It matches the Rfam family "tRNA", at positions 15 to 67 of the family's 71-position model. Rfam says of the family: Transfer RNA (tRNA) molecules are approximately 80 nucleotides in length. Their secondary structure includes four short double-helical elements and three loops (D, anti-codon, and T loops). The record is from RNAcentral. Lineage: Bacteria; Bacillati; Bacillota; Bacilli; Caryophanales; Staphylococcaceae.
GCUGGGAGAGCAUCUGCCUUACAAGCAGAGGGUCGGCGGUUCGAACCCGUCAUUCU